RNAcentral lists this ribosomal RNA (403 nucleotides) under uncultured bacterium. RNAcentral describes it as "bacterial SSU rRNA". It matches the Rfam family "Bacterial small subunit ribosomal RNA", at positions 362 to 758 of the family's 1533-position model. The record is from RNAcentral.
UUUUGGACAAUGGGCGCAAGCCUGAUCCAGCCAUGCCGCGUGUAUGAAGAAGGCCUUCGGGUUGUAAAGUACUUUUGUCAGGGAAGAAAAGCCUGAGGAUAACACCCUCAGGUCAUGACGGUACCUGAAGAAUAAGCACCGGCUAACUACGUGCCAGCAGCCGCGGUAAUACGUAGGGUGCGAGCGUUAAUCGGAAUUACUGGGCGUAAAGCGAGCGCAGACGGUUAUUUAAGCAAGAUGUGAAAGCCCCGGGCUCAACCUGGGAACUGCGUUUUGAACUGGGUAACUAGAGUGUGUCAGAGGGGGGUAGAAUUCCACGUGUAGCAGUGAAAUGCGUAGAGAUGUGGAGGAAUACCGAUGGCGAAGGCAGCCCCCUGGGAUAACACUGACGUCAUGCUCGAAA